This 328-nucleotide ribosomal RNA is filed under the name uncultured eukaryote. RNAcentral's name for it is "partial 18S ribosomal RNA". It matches the Rfam family "Eukaryotic small subunit ribosomal RNA", at positions 1470 to 1796 of the family's 1831-position model. The record is from RNAcentral.
CCCUUAGAUGUCCUGGGCCGCACGCGCGUUACACUGAUGCAUUCAACGAGCUUAUAACCUUGGCCGAGAGGCCUGGGCAAUCUUGUUAACGUGCAUCGUGAUAGGGAUAGAUUAUUGAAAUUAUUAAUCUUGAACGAGGAAUUCAUAGUAAACGCAGAUCAUCAAUCUGCAUUGAUUACGUCCCUGCCCUUUGUACACACCGCCCGUCGCACCUACCGAUUGGAUGGUCCGGUGAAGCCUCGGGAUUGUGGUUCUUGCCGCUUUAUUGUGGCGUGACCGCGAGAACUUGUCUAAACCUUAUCAUCUAGAGGAAGGUGAAGUCGUAACA